Molecule: non-coding RNA, 902 nt
Organism: Cajanus cajan (pigeon pea)
Lineage: Eukaryota; Viridiplantae; Streptophyta; Magnoliopsida; Fabales; Fabaceae
Source: RefSeq, a predicted model, not a curated record
CCUUCUGCUUCACUCUCAAACUUCUUUUUUCGUCAAACCUUUAGCUUCAUUUCACGCUCAACGCAGUCAUUGGUGAGCCAAUUUGCGAUGAAAGCAUUUCGCUAAGUGUUCUCUACACUGUUCUCUACGGGGUUAGUGAUUUCGCAAGAGCUUUUUAAUCUUUCUCUUCUCUACGCUGUUCUUCGAUCAAUUGCUUCCACUUAAGGUGAGUUUUCGAUUCAUAUCCAUUUUCAUUCCCUAUUUUUGCUUUGUAUAAUAUUUUGUUUUAAUUUUUUUGUUCAAAGGUUUUAGGUGGAACAAAUUUUUCAGAGAUUACACAAAAAUUUACACACUAUUUUUAAUUCCAUUUGUUAGUUCGAAAAAAUUCACAUAGCUGAACCUAAUCUGUUGGAGUUGAGUAUCCUAACAGAGUGGCCCAAAGUUCAGUAUAUAGGUUGACUUGUACCUUCUUUGUUUCCUAUAAAUGUUUACCAGUUCAUUGUAUAAUUCCAGAAUGAACUUGAGGCUGCAAAAUCUGAGAUUAAGAAGUGGCAUUUUUCAUUUCAAAAUUAACCUUUUAUAUCUGCUGGGACCACUCCAGCACCAAAAUUGGUGAUUAAUUAUCUUCAAGCUCUGAAAUCAUUUGAAGAGUCUUUAAGAGAGCAGCUUGAAAAAGCAAAGAAAAAGGAAGUUGCAUUCAUUGUCACAUUUGCAAAACGAGAACAAGAGAUAGCAGAGUUGAAGUUGGGGAUGAAUUUUGAACUUGUUAGAUCAAAUUCAACGAUUCUCCAUGUCUUCCCCUUCAAUUAUGAGAAAAAGAUUGUUUUAGAAACUUGUACACAAUAUAUUGAUUCUGAUGGUCACUUGAAAUCUAUUGAAGAAGAAAAGGUAAGGAACAACAGCUUCAUGUGAUAGAAAGUUUG